RNAcentral lists this ribosomal RNA (660 nucleotides) under Puccinia adenocauli. RNAcentral describes it as "partial large subunit ribosomal RNA". It matches the Rfam family "Eukaryotic large subunit ribosomal RNA", at positions 36 to 664 of the family's 3401-position model. Lineage: Eukaryota; Fungi; Basidiomycota; Pucciniomycetes; Pucciniales; Pucciniaceae. The record is from RNAcentral.
UGUCAAAUCAAAAAAGCGGAGGAAAAGAAACUAACAAGGAUUCCCCUAGUAAUGGCGAAUGAAGAGGGAAAAGCCCAAAUUUGUAAUCUGGCUCUUUCAGAGUCCGAGUUGUAAUUUUAAGAACUGUUUUCAGUGCUGGACCAUGUACAAGUCUGUUGAAAAGCAGCAUCAUAGAAGGUGAUAAUCCUGUUCAUGAUAUGGACUACCAGUGCAAUAUGAUACAGUCUCUAAGAGUCGAGUUGUUUGGGAAUGCAGCUCAAAGUGGGUGGUAAAUUCCAUCUAAGGCUAAAUAUUGAUGAGAGACCGAUAGCAAACAAGUACCGUGAGGGAAAGAUGAAAAGAACUUUGGAAAGAGAGUUAACAGUACGUGAAAUUGUUAAAAGGGAAACAAUUGAAGUUAGACUUGUUAUUAUUAGUUCAACCUUUUCUAAGGGGGUAUUCUAAUGAUUAACAGACCAACAUCAAUUUUUGGGUGUUGGAGAAGGGUUUAAGGAAAUGUAGCAGUUUUUGACUGUGUUAUAGUCCUGAGCUUUGAUACAAUGCUUAAGAUUGAGGAAUGCAGUAAGCCCUUUCUUUUUUUGGGUGGAACAAAUUAUUGUUCUUCUUACUGAGGAUGUUGGUGCAAUAGCUUUAAAUGACCCGUCUUGAAACACGGCAAGA